GAUGAAGAACGCAGCGAAAUGCGAUAAGUAAUGUGAAUUGCAGAAUUCAGUGAAUCAUCGAAUCUUUGAACGCACCUUGCGCCCUUUGGCCAUUCCGAAGGGCAUGCCUGUUUGAGUAUCAUGAACACCUCAACUCUUUAUGGUUUUCCAUGAUGAGCUUGGACUCUGGGGGUUUUGCUGGCUCACAGUCGGCUCCUCUGAAAUGAAUCAGCUUACCAGUGUUUGGUGGGUAUCAUAGGUGUGAUAACUAUCUACGCUUGAGGUUUUUCCACCAGGUAACCUUCAGCAGUGGAGGUUCGCUGGAGCUCAUAGAUGUCUCUCCUCAGUGAGGACAGCCCUUUGAAUGUUUGAUCUCAAAUCAGGUAGGACUACCCGCUGAACUUAAGCAUAUCAAUAAGCGGAGGA
This 405-nucleotide unclassified non-coding RNA is filed under the name soil metagenome. RNAcentral describes it as "partial contains 5.8S ribosomal RNA, internal transcribed spacer 2, and large subunit ribosomal RNA". The stretch from base 1 to 121 matches the Rfam family "5.8S ribosomal RNA", at positions 35 to 154 of the family's 154-position model. The record is from RNAcentral.